GUCAUAUAUCAAAUAAAAAAAUGCACAUUUUACAAUCGCUUCAUGGAACAUUUAAGGUACCAUUAUGGAUGCUUAAGUACAAAUGUGUUUGAAAAGGUACUGCCUCAGUGACAGCUUGUGUAUUUUAUUUCUGUGUGCUACAGAAACAUGCCUGAUGGUAUUCCGUGAAAAUUCCCAAUGAAACCCCAGGACAUGGAAUGGCAAUGCGAGCAUGUCUCUAAAGCUGUCAGCUCACAUCUGUGAUACAGCACCUGUCACUGAGGUCAUACAUACAUUCAUUGUGUGUACUGAGCGCGCUCUCAAUGACCUCCUGACAGGUACGAGCGGGAGUUUGGCAGGAGAAAGGAAGAACCCAGAGCCGCAUUACAUCUGGGGUGAUGUGCCCUCUCCGUUGGUACCUGUCUGCCCCCCACACAUCCCAAAGAGCACCAUACAUCUCUCUCAGGAAGGAGUGAUUUUCUCCUCUGGAAGUUCAGGUGUGUCUGGCGAGUGAGGGAGGGAACGGGGAGCAGGAGGUCAGAGGGCACUGGGACAAGGUGGACAAUAUAUCACUGAGAAAAGAAGAAGACGUAUUCAAAUGUGUCCUGAGGCUAAGGAGUCAACAGAUAGGCACUUUUUUUCUUCUUCUUUUUGCAAAUGUCAACACUGGAUAUGUAAUUGUUUAUAAUGUAUGCUAUUAAUAAUUAUACAUACUAAUAUAAAUAAAUAAUUAAUCACACUUUUUUUGCAAUUAAUCAUGAUUAGUCGGAAUUAAAAGACGGAAACUUGUCCUUUUGGCCAUUCAAAUGUAAAAUUAAUGUAAACUCGAGACAAAGAAACUAUUUUAAUUCAAAAU
This 835-nucleotide long non-coding RNA is filed under the name Danio rerio (zebrafish). Its description in RNAcentral is "lncRNA (ENSDARG00000117372.1)". The record is from RNAcentral. Lineage: Eukaryota; Metazoa; Chordata; Actinopteri; Cypriniformes; Danionidae.